UAAGCGGAGGAAAAGAAACUAACAAGGAUUCCCCUAGUAACGGCGAGUGAAGCGGGAAGAGCUCAAAUUUGAAAUCUAGUAGCCUUCGGCUGCUCGAGUUGUAAUCUAGAGAAGUGUUUUCCGUGCCGGCCCAUGUACAAGUCCCUUGGAACAGGGCGUCAUAGAGGGUGAGAAUCCCGUCCUUGACAUGGACCCCCGGUGCUCUGUGAUACACUUUCAACGAGUCGAGUUGUUUGGGAAUGCAGCUCAAAAUGGGUGGUGAAUUCCAUCUAAAGCUAAAUAUUGGCGAGAGACCGAUAGCGAACAAGUACCGUGAGGGAAAGAUGAAAAGCACUUUGGAAAGAGAGUUAAACAGUACGUGAAAUUGUUGAAAGGGAAACGAUUGAAGUCAGUCAUGCUCUUUGGUAUUUAUAUCAUUGAGUGGGGUCAACAUCAGUUUUGAGCGAUGGAUAAAGGCACUAGGAAGGUAGCACUCUCGGGUGAACUUAUAGCCUAGCGUCAUAUACAUUGUUUGGGACUGAGGAACGCAGCAUGCCUUUAUGGCCGGGAUUCGUCCACGUACAUGCUUAGGAUGUUGACAUAAUGGCUUUAAACGACCCGUCUUGAAACACG
Molecule: ribosomal RNA, 612 nt
Filed under: Naganishia diffluens
Lineage: Eukaryota; Fungi; Basidiomycota; Tremellomycetes; Filobasidiales; Filobasidiaceae
Description: eukaryotic LSU rRNA
Rfam family: Eukaryotic large subunit ribosomal RNA
Source: RNAcentral